GACGAACGCUGGCGGCGUGCUUAACACAUGCAAGUCGAACGGAAAGGCCCUGCUUUUGUGGGGUGCUCGAGUGGCGAACGGGUGAGUAACACGUGAGUAACCUGCCCUUGACUUUGGGAUAACUUCAGGAAACUGGGGCUAAUACCGGAUAGGAGCUCCUGCUGCAUGGUGGGGGUUGGAAAGUUUCGGCGGUUGGGGAUGGACUCGCGGCUUAUCAGCUUGUUGGUGGGGUAGUGGCUUACCAAGGCUUUGACGGGUAGCCGGCCUGAGAGGGUGACCGGCCACAUUGGGACUGAGAUACGGCCCAGACUCCUACGGGAGGCAGCAGUGGGGAAUAUUGCACAAUGGGCGGAAGCCUGAUGCAGCAACGCCGCGUGCGGGAUGACGGCCUUCGGGUUGUAAACCGCUUUCGCCUGUGACGAAGCGUGAGUGACGGUAAUGGGUAAAGAAGCACCGGCUAACUACGUGCCAGCAGCCGCGGUGAUACGUAGGGUGCGAGCGUUGUCCGGAUUUAUUGGGCGUAAAGGGCUCGUAGGUGGUUGAUCGCGUCGGAAGUGUAAUCUUGGGGCUUAACCCUGAGCGUGCUUUCGAUACGGGUUGACUUGAGGAAGGUAGGGGAGAAUGGAAUUCCUGGUGGAGCGGUGGAAUGCGCAGAUAUCAGGAGGAACACCAGUGGCGAAGGCGGUUCUCUGGGCCUUUCCUGACGCUGAGGAGCGAAAGCGUGGGGAGCGAACAGGCUUAGAUACCCUGGUAGUCCACGCUGUAAACGGUGGGUACUAGGUGUGGGGUCCAUUCCACGGGUUCCGUGCCGUAGCUAACGCUUUAAGUACCCCGCCUGGGGAGUACGGCCGCAAGGCUAAAACUCAAAGGAAUUGACGGGGCCCCGCACAAGCGGCGGAGCAUGCGGAUUAAUUCGAUGCAACGCGUAGAACCUUACCUGGGUUUGACAUGGAUCGGGAGUGCUCAGAGAUGGGUGUGCCUCUUUUGGGGUCGGUUCACAGGUGGUGCAUGGCUGUCGUCAGCUCGUGUCGUGAGAUGUUGGGUUAAGUCCCGCAACGAGCGCAACCCUUGUUCACUGUUGCCAGCACGUUAUGGUGGGGACUCAGUGGAGACCGCCGGGGUCAACUCGGAGGAAGGUGGGGAUGACGUCAAGUCAUCAUGCCCCUUAUGUCCAGGGCUUCACGCAUGCUACAAUGGCAGGUACAGAGAGUGGCGAGCCUGUGAGGGUGAGCGAAUCUCGGAAAGCCGGUCUCAGUUCGGAUUGAGGUCUGCAACUCGACCUCAUGAAGUCGGAGUCGCUAGUAAUCGCAGAUCAGCAACGCUGCGGUGAAUACGUUCCCGGG
This 1343-nucleotide ribosomal RNA is filed under the name uncultured bacterium. Its description in RNAcentral is "16S ribosomal RNA". It matches the Rfam family "Bacterial small subunit ribosomal RNA", at positions 28 to 1378 of the family's 1533-position model. The record is from RNAcentral.